GAUGAAGAACGUAGUGAAAUGCGAUAAGUAAUGUGAAUUGCAGAAUUCAGUGAAUCAUCGAAUCUUUGAACGCACCUUGCACCCUUUGGUAUUCCGAAGGGUAUGCCUGUUUGAGUGUCUUGAAACUCUCAAAACUCCUGGUCUUUGUUGAUCUUAGGAAGUUUUGGACUUUGGAUGGUUGCCGGCCCGUCUCGGGUUGGCUCGUCCUAAAUGCAUUAGCUGACCUUGCAACGGUUCGGCCGCCCGGUGUGAUAAGUAUCACUCGCCGAGGCUCAGGACUGUGAAGGGUUGCUUCCAACCGUCCGAUCCCGGACAAUCCUUUUCAAGCGUUUGACCUCAAAUCAGGUAGGACUACCCGCUGAACUUAAGCAUAUCAAUAAGCGGAGGA
This 388-nucleotide unclassified non-coding RNA is filed under the name soil metagenome. Its description in RNAcentral is "partial contains 5.8S ribosomal RNA, internal transcribed spacer 2, and large subunit ribosomal RNA". The stretch from base 1 to 120 matches the Rfam family "5.8S ribosomal RNA", at positions 35 to 154 of the family's 154-position model. The record is from RNAcentral.